UACAGAGGUCUCGAGCGUUAGGCGGAAUCACUGGGCUUAAAGCGUGUGUAGGCGGGUUGUUAAGUACCUUGUGAAAUCCCAUGGCUCAACCAUGGAACUGCUGGGUAUACUGGCGAUCUUGUGCAACCUAGGGGCGAGCGGAACAGAUGGUGGAGCGGUGAAAUGCGUAGAUAUCAUCUGGAACGCCAAUGGUGAAAACAGCUCGCUGGGGGUUUGCAGACGCUGAGACACGAAAGCCAGGGGAGCGAACGGG
This 253-nucleotide ribosomal RNA is filed under the name uncultured bacterium. Its description in RNAcentral is "partial 16S ribosomal RNA". It matches the Rfam family "Bacterial small subunit ribosomal RNA", at positions 524 to 776 of the family's 1533-position model. The record is from RNAcentral.